GUGAAACGACGUCAUAUUAACUUAGGUUUUUUCUUGAUCUCAAAAAUUAGAAUCUCUCUGCCGUAAUUUUUUUCUCUGUCGAUGUAGCUGAGAAACAUGACAUGAUCGAAAUUGAGAAACAACAAUCUUGUAGGUCUCUUCGUUUUCUUCACUAAGAGAAGGCUGCUUUGGUUCAAGGGUUCGGUUUUGCUGUGAACUUGUGAGCGUCUGUGCUGUGAGCAGUGAGCCUGUGAGCGUCUGUGCUGUGAGCCUGUGAGCGUCCUCAAUCCUAUUACUUCAAGUCUUCAAGUGAGUUGUUUGAUUUCCUGCAAUGUGUAGUUAGUCUUCAAGUCGUCAAUUUCAUUUUCAGAUAACAAGAUGGAGAAAGGGGUUGGUUUGAGAUUAAAGGAGGAGGAUGAAGUUGGUUUCUAUCUUGUUUUUCUAUGGUUCAGUUUUUUUUAUGAAGUAAACUUUAUGUAUUUUCAGAUUCUCUAUGGUGUAGUCUUUCACUUUCUAAGUUUCAGAUUUUAUGUAUUUGAAGAUUCUCUAUGGUGUAGUCUUGGUGUUUGCUUCUUUACAUGAACUAUAUUCUCUUAUCCAUUGUGUUACCAAGUUAAAUCUGAUGUCUUAUUCUCGGGUUUA
This is a long non-coding RNA of Brassica oleracea var. oleracea, 621 nucleotides long. RefSeq lists it as uncharacterized. Lineage: Eukaryota; Viridiplantae; Streptophyta; Magnoliopsida; Brassicales; Brassicaceae. The record is from RefSeq and is a predicted model, not a curated record. The transcript has 2 exons.